CUACGGUCUCAGUUCAGAUUGCAGGCUGCAACUCGCCUGCAUGAAGCUGGAAUUGCUAGUAAUCGCGAAUCAGAAUGUCGCGGUGAAUACGUUCCCGGGCCUUGUACACACCGCCCGUCAAGCCAUGGGAGCCGGGGGUACCUGAAGUGCGUAACCGCGAGGAGCGCCCUAGGGUAAAACUGGUGACUGGGGCUAAGUCGUAACAAGGUACC
This 212-nucleotide ribosomal RNA is filed under the name uncultured bacterium. Its description in RNAcentral is "partial 16S ribosomal RNA". It matches the Rfam family "Bacterial small subunit ribosomal RNA", at positions 1280 to 1500 of the family's 1533-position model. The record is from RNAcentral.